GGCAGCAGUGGGGAAUAUCGCGCAAUGGGGGAACCCUGACGCAGCAACGCCGCGUGAAGGAUGAAGGUUUUCGGAUUGUAAACUUCUUUGAUGAGGGACGAAACAAAUGACGGUACCUCAAAAACAAGCCACGGCUAACUACGUGCCAGCAGCCGCGGUAAUACGUAGGUGGCGAGCGUUGUCCGGAAUUACUGGGUGUAAAGGGCGUGUAGGCGGGGGAGCAAGUCAGAUGUGAAAUACCGAGGCUUAACUUCGGGGGUGCAUCUGAAACUGUUUUUCUUGAGUAUCGGAGAGGAAAGUGGAAUUCCUAGUGUAGCGGUGAAAUGCGUAGAUAUUAGGAGGAACACCAGUGGCGAAGGCGACUUUCUGGACGAUAACUGACGCUGAGGCGCGAAAGCGUGGGGAGCACCCAAAAGGAGAUACCCUGGUAGUCCACGCCGUAAACGAUGGAUACUAGGUGUAGGAGGUAUCGACCCCUUCUGUGCCGCAGUAAACACAAUAAGUAUCCCACCUGGGGAGUACGGCCGCAAGGCUGAAACUCAAAGGGAUUGACGGGGACCCGCACAAGCAGUGGAGUAUGUGGUUUAAUUCGAAGCAACGCGAAGAACCUUACCAGGGCUUGACAUGCAGGUGAAUAUGCUAGAGAUAGUAUAGUCCUUCGGGACACCUGUGCAGGUGGUGCAUGGUUGUCGUCAGCUCGUGUCGUGAGAUGUUGGGUUAAGUCCCGCAACGAGCGCAACCCCUGUUGCUAGUUGCCAUCAUUAAGUUGGGCACUCUAGCGAGACUGCCGGUGACAAAUCGGAGGAAGGUGGGGAGGACGUCAAAUCAUCAUGCCCCUUAUGUCCUGGGCUACACACGUACUACAAUGGCUAUAACAGCAGGGAGCUAAGGAGUAAUCUGGAGCGAAUCCUCAAAAAUAGUCCCAGUUCGAAUUGUGGGCUGAAACCCGCCCACAUGAAGUCGGAAUUGCUAGUAAUGGCAGGUCAGCAUACUGCC
RNAcentral lists this ribosomal RNA (996 nucleotides) under uncultured bacterium. Its description in RNAcentral is "bacterial SSU rRNA". It matches the Rfam family "Bacterial small subunit ribosomal RNA", at positions 347 to 1361 of the family's 1533-position model. The record is from RNAcentral.